Molecule: transfer RNA, 71 nt
Filed under: Loxodonta africana (African savanna elephant)
Lineage: Eukaryota; Metazoa; Chordata; Mammalia; Proboscidea; Elephantidae
Rfam family: tRNA
About the family: Transfer RNA (tRNA) molecules are approximately 80 nucleotides in length. Their secondary structure includes four short double-helical elements and three loops (D, anti-codon, and T loops).
Source: Rfam by way of RNAcentral
UCAGUGGUGGUUCAUUGGUAGAACUUUCACCCUCCAUGCGGAAGACCUGGGUUCAACUCCCAGCCAAUGCU